UCGUCCUCACCCUGCCCCUCGGCAGGGGAGAGAGCAUACGUUUGACAGCAAAGGAUUUGACCAAGAAGAAUUUUCUUCAGCUGAACCCCAAGGCCCGAGGGCUCACGAAGAAGCUGUCAGUUUGUCUCGCACAAGCUUGCAACUAGGCAAAAAUACCUCCAGAUGGAAGUCAGUGAGCAAUGACAUCCCUCUACAAAUACAUUUUACAUUUAGGACUGCUACCUUCAUUUAGUUCUUGCUCUAAUUUGUAUCUUCCUUUCAUUGAUCUACAGAAUGGAUGCUAAGAAGUAGUUAUUCUACCUAUAAUAUGUAAUGGGAUCAAAAUAAAUGGAACUUUUUUUUUAA
Poecile atricapillus (Black-capped chickadee) is the source of this 345-nucleotide long non-coding RNA. RefSeq lists it as uncharacterized. The record is from RefSeq and is a predicted model, not a curated record. NCBI's taxonomy places the organism in Eukaryota, Metazoa, Chordata, Aves, Passeriformes, Paridae. The transcript is spliced from 3 exons.